UACGGAGGGUGCAAGCAUUAAUCGGAUUUAUUGGGCGUAAAGGGCGCGUAGGCGGGCCUGUAAGUCAGAUGUGAAAGCCCGGAGCUCAACUCCGGAACAGCAUUUGAAACUGUGGGUCUAGAGGGUAGGCGGGGAAAAUGGAAUUCCACAAGUAGCGGUGAAAUGCGUAGAUAUGUGGAAGAACACCGGUGGCGAAGGCGAUUUUCUAGCUUAUACCUGACGCUGAGGCGCGAAAGUAAGGGGAUCAAACAGG
This 253-nucleotide ribosomal RNA is filed under the name uncultured bacterium. Its description in RNAcentral is "partial 16S ribosomal RNA". It matches the Rfam family "Bacterial small subunit ribosomal RNA", at positions 524 to 776 of the family's 1533-position model. The record is from RNAcentral.